Molecule: ribosomal RNA, 426 nt
Filed under: uncultured bacterium
Lineage: Bacteria
Description: partial 16S ribosomal RNA
Rfam family: Bacterial small subunit ribosomal RNA
Source: RNAcentral
GUGAGGAAUUUUCCGCAAUGGGCGAAAGCCUGACGGAGCAAUGCCGCGUGAAGGAUGAAGGCCUAUGGGUUGUAAACUUCUUUUCUCAGAAAAGAAUUAUGACGGUAUCUGAGGAAUAAGCAUCGGCUAACUCUGUGCCAGCAGCCGCGGUAAGACAGAGGAUGCAAGCGUUAUCCGGAAUGAUUGGGCGUAAAGCGUCUGUAGGUUGUUUAAAAAGUAUUCUGUCAAAGAUUAGGGCUUAACCCUAGAUAGUCAGAAUAAACUUUUAAGCUAGAGUUUGGUAGAGGCAGAGGGAAUUCCCGGUGGAGCGGUGAAAUGCGUAGAUAUCGGGAGGAACACCAAAGGCGAAGGCACUCUGCUGGGCCAAUACUAACACUGAGAGACGAAAGCGAGGGGAGCAAAUGGGAUUAGAAACCCCUGUAGUCC